Molecule: unclassified non-coding RNA, 295 nt
Filed under: uncultured Sebacina
Lineage: Eukaryota; Fungi; Basidiomycota; Agaricomycetes; Sebacinales; Sebacinaceae
Description: sequence contains ITS2
Source: RNAcentral
AACGCACCUUGCACCCUUUGGUAUUCCGAAGGGUAUGCUCGUUUGAGUGUCAUUGUACUCUCACACUCUCUGAUCCUUUGGAUUGGGAGUGGUGGACUUGGGUGUUGCUGUUACUGCGCGGCUCACCUCAAAUGCAUUAGUGUAACUCCUGGUUGGACAUAGUACGGCGUGAUAAGUGUCUUCGCCGGCGCCUCGAAAGAGGGUGGCUGAUUGGGAGCUCUGUGCUUCUUAACUGUCUUUGGACACUCUCUGACAACUUGACCUCAAAUCGAGUAGGACUACCCGCUGAACUUAA